GGGGAGAUUCCAGAGCGGUCAAAUGGGGCAGACUGUAAAUCUGUUGGCAGUGCCUUCGGAGGUUCGAAUCCUCCUCUCCCCA
This 82-nucleotide transfer RNA is filed under the name Bacteroidota bacterium. Its description in RNAcentral is "tRNA-Tyr". It matches the Rfam family "tRNA". From Rfam's summary of the family: Transfer RNA (tRNA) molecules are approximately 80 nucleotides in length. Their secondary structure includes four short double-helical elements and three loops (D, anti-codon, and T loops). Further hydrogen bonds mediate the characteristic L-shaped molecular structure. tRNAs have two regions of fundamental functional importance: the anti-codon, which is responsible for specific mRNA codon recognition, and the 3' end, to which the tRNAs corresponding amino acid is attached (by aminoacyl-tRNA synthetases). tRNAs cope with the degeneracy of the genetic code in two manners: having more than one tRNA (with a specific anti-codon) for a particular amino acid; and 'wobble' base-pairing, i.e. permitting non-standard base-pairing at the 3rd anti-codon position. Lineage: Bacteria; Pseudomonadati; Bacteroidota. RNAcentral also lists the same sequence under 1 other name. The record is from RNAcentral.